CGUACCAGGAAUGUGUUUACAUUAUGUUUCGUAAAAGAUGUAAAUGCAUUUUCUGGUAUGUC
Molecule: microRNA precursor, 62 nt
Filed under: Triops cancriformis
Lineage: Eukaryota; Metazoa; Arthropoda; Branchiopoda; Notostraca; Triopsidae
Description: microRNA tcf-mir-277 precursor
Gene: tcf-mir-277
Source: miRBase by way of RNAcentral